Molecule: ribosomal RNA, 301 nt
Filed under: uncultured bacterium
Lineage: Bacteria
Description: partial 16S ribosomal RNA
Rfam family: Bacterial small subunit ribosomal RNA
Source: RNAcentral
CAGCCGCCGCGGUAAUACGUAGGGUGCGAGCGUUAAUCGGAAUUACUGGGCGUAAAGCGUGCGCAGGCGGUCCGCUAAGACAGAUGUGAAAUCCCCGGGCUUAACCUGGGAACUGCAUUUGUGACUGGCGGGCUAGAGUAUGGCAGAGGGGGGUAGAAUUCCACGUGUAGCAGUGAAAUGCGUAGAGGUGUGGAGGAAUACCGAUGGCGAAGACAGCCCCCUGGGCCAAUACUGACGCUCAUGCACGAAAGCGUGGGGAGCAAACAGGAUUAGAUACCCCUGUAGUCCCUGUCUCUUAUAC